This 153-nucleotide microRNA precursor is filed under the name Choloepus hoffmanni (Hoffmann's two-fingered sloth). Its description in RNAcentral is "miRNA (ENSCHOG00000015924.1)". The stretch from base 60 to 153 matches the Rfam family "Eukaryotic large subunit ribosomal RNA", at positions 2124 to 2231 of the family's 3401-position model. Lineage: Eukaryota; Metazoa; Chordata; Mammalia; Pilosa; Megalonychidae. The record is from RNAcentral.
UCCUGAUUACAGUAGCGUACAGCAGCAUUUUCUGAAAUGAGGUCUGUGCGACACAGGUUCCAGGGGAUGCUCACAAAGCAUCGCGAAGGCCCGCGGCGGGUGUUGACGCGAUGUGAUUUCUGCCCAGUGCUCUGAAUGUCAAAGUGAAGAAAU